GAUGAAGAACGUAGCGAAAUGCGAUAAGUAAUGCGAAUUGCAGAAUUCAGUGAGUCAUCGAAUCUUUGAACGCACAUUGCGCCCUGUGGUAUUCCGCAGGGCAUGCCUGUUCGAGCGUCAUUUCAACCCUCAAGCUCUGCUUGGUGUUGGGCCCUGCCCGCUGCGGCCGGCCCUAAAGACAGUGGCGGUGCCGCCUGGCCCUGAGCGUAGUACAUCUCUCGCUCCAGUGCCCGGUGGUGGCCUGCCAGAACCCCAACUCUCGUGGUUGACCUCGGAUCAGGUAGGGAUACCCGCUGAACUUAAGCAUAUCAAUAAGCGGAGGA
Molecule: unclassified non-coding RNA, 323 nt
Filed under: soil metagenome
Description: partial contains 5.8S ribosomal RNA, internal transcribed spacer 2, and large subunit ribosomal RNA
Rfam family: 5.8S ribosomal RNA (bases 1-120)
Source: RNAcentral